GAAGUGCGAAAAGUGUCAUGACUUGCAGAUUCCCGAGAGCUGACGAAUCUCUGAAUGCAAAAGGCGGCCGAUUCAUCCCGGCCAUGGAUUGCAGAGUGUAGUUUGUUCCGACUCUUCAUCUCUUCUCCUCUCUUUCGCGAGAGAGACCAAGAAGAGCAUCUGCGCUUGAGGGGCACACUGCUCUUCGAGCGUGAAGAUCCCGGAGUAGGGUGCCAUCUCCUUGAUGAUUGCAUCCUCACUUCGAACUCGAUGUGAUUCCAUUUGUCACACACUCCAACCUAUACACUCUAGGUACCACCUCUGCAAUGCAGGAGGACCCGCUGAACUUAA
RNAcentral lists this unclassified non-coding RNA (330 nucleotides) under uncultured fungus. RNAcentral describes it as "sequence contains ITS1". The stretch from base 1 to 101 matches the Rfam family "5.8S ribosomal RNA", at positions 50 to 154 of the family's 154-position model. The record is from RNAcentral. Lineage: Eukaryota; Fungi.